This 253-nucleotide ribosomal RNA is filed under the name uncultured bacterium. RNAcentral describes it as "partial 16S ribosomal RNA". It matches the Rfam family "Bacterial small subunit ribosomal RNA", at positions 524 to 776 of the family's 1533-position model. The record is from RNAcentral.
UACGUAGGGCGCAAGCGUUGUCCGGAAUUAUUGGGCGUAAAGAGCUCGUAGGCGGUCUGUCGCGUCGGAUGUGAAAGCCCGGGGCUUAACCCCGGGUCUGCAUUCGAUACGGGCAGGCUAGAGUGUGGUAGGGGAGAUCGGAAUUCCUGGUGUAGCGGUGAAAUGCGCAGAUAUCAGGAGGAACACCGGUGGCGAAGGCGGAUCUCUGGGCCAUUACUGACGCUGAGGAGCGAAAGCGUGGGGAGCGAACAGG